Molecule: ribosomal RNA, 73 nt
Filed under: Nicotiana sylvestris (wood tobacco)
Lineage: Eukaryota; Viridiplantae; Streptophyta; Magnoliopsida; Solanales; Solanaceae
Source: RNAcentral
GGAUGCGAUUAUACCAGCACUUAUGCACCGGAUCCCAUUAGAACUCCGAAGUUAAGCGUGCUUGGGCGAGAGU